This is a non-coding RNA of Cinara cedri, 389 nucleotides long. The record is from the annotation of a GenBank genome assembly. NCBI's taxonomy places the organism in Eukaryota, Metazoa, Arthropoda, Insecta, Hemiptera, Aphididae.
AUUAUCGUAUAGAUAUUGAAAACCGAGUGUUCGUGAUUUUCUGAAAAUAUGGCGAUGAUCAUUGCAUAACCCAGAACGUCUCAUGUAUUCGUGUAGAGUAAAGAUUUAACCAUUCUACCUAAACAUAAUAACAAGAACAAUGUCUGGACCUUAUAGUCUACACGAUGGUAUUCAAAUUUAAUGUUGACGCAGACGCGCCUAUAGAUUGUAAGUUUCGGAUCACGUUAGACAAAAACAAAACGAUUGCUGCGUGCGGCAAUGCCGUAUUAAAUUAAUUGUUUGUAUUGAAUUCAGUAAACGUAAAAACAAUUAAGUUAAUUAAAUAAAAACAAAAUCAAAGGUCAACAAUGAAAAUUAAUUUUGAUCAAUUAUUAAUUAUUAAUUUGUAC